This 712-nucleotide ribosomal RNA is filed under the name uncultured bacterium. RNAcentral describes it as "bacterial SSU rRNA". It matches the Rfam family "Bacterial small subunit ribosomal RNA", at positions 8 to 714 of the family's 1533-position model. The record is from RNAcentral.
GAGAGUUUGAUCCUGGCUCAGAUUGAACGCUAGCGGGAUGCCUUACACAUGCAAGUCGAACGGCAGCACGGACUUCGGUCUGGUGGCGAGUGGCGAACGGGUGAGUAAUGUAUCGGAACGUGCCCAGUAGCGGGGGAUAACUACGCGAAAGCGUAGCUAAUACCGCAUACGCCCUACGGGGGAAAGCAGGGGAUCGCAAGACCUUGCACUAUUGGAGCGGCCGAUAUCGGAUUAGCUAGUUGGUGGGGUAACGGCUCACCAAGGCGACGAUCCGUAGCUGGUUUGAGAGGACGACCAGCCACACUGGGACUGAGACACGGCCCAGACUCCUACGGGAGGCAGCAGUGGGGAAUUUUGGACAAUGGGGGAAACCCUGAUCCAGCCAUCCCGCGUGUGCGAUGAAGGCCUUCGGGUUGUAAAGCACUUUUGGCAGGAAAGAAACGUCGCGGGUUAAUACCCCGCGAAACUGACGGUACCUGCAGAAUAAGCACCGGCUAACUACGUGCCAGCAGCCGCGGUAAUACGUAGGGUGCAAGCGUUAAUCGGAAUUACUGGGCGUAAAGCGUGCGCAGGCGGUUCGGAAAGAAAGAUGUGAAAUCCCAGAGCUUAACUUUGGAACUGCAUUUUUAACUACCGGGCUAGAGUGUGUCAGAGGGAGGUGGAAUUCCGCGUGUAGCAGUGAAAUGCGUAGAUAUGCGGAGGAACACCGAUG